This is a long non-coding RNA of Ostrea edulis (European flat oyster), 562 nucleotides long. RefSeq lists it as uncharacterized. The transcript is spliced from 3 exons. Lineage: Eukaryota; Metazoa; Mollusca; Bivalvia; Ostreida; Ostreidae. The record is from RefSeq and is a predicted model, not a curated record.
AUGUAGCGUGAUCGUGAUGUCCGACUCCGAGUGCUGCGAGUUUCAAUACUGUUUAUGUAGUCAUUGAGAUUUUAAACAAAGUUUCUUCUGAGAAGAGGAAUUCGAUGGAUGCAUUCAACGUGGACAACGAGAUUAUAAUUUCGUUUGUGUCAUCCUAAGGACCAGUGCAAGUUGAAAUGGGCUUCGAGUCAACAACUUCAACAGCAAUUUGCCUUGAAAAUCAGCAAGAAAGGUACUUCAUUUACAUUGAUGAUGUCAUAUCCCCUGGACCCCACAACUUUACAGGUUACAGAGAAAAUUCAAGAACUUCUGCACAAUGUGGGACUUGGAUAGAAUCAAUAAUGUAUUUGUGAGCCCAGAUAUAUUGUGCAACAUACUAAAGUGUGAAUUUAAUUGAAAACAAGUACAUGUACUCAUGUAUACUAUUAUAUGUCUUUCUUAAAGACAAUAAUAUUACAUAAAUGUAGAUGAAGUGUCAUUGUUGAUUAUUCUAAGUUUUUGAUAUAUCAAAAUCAGUAAACAUUUCUAAAUGAAAAUAAAAUACCAAUUUUAUAACUUUUAA